Molecule: long non-coding RNA, 672 nt
Organism: Cydia pomonella (codling moth)
Lineage: Eukaryota; Metazoa; Arthropoda; Insecta; Lepidoptera; Tortricidae
Exons: 2
Source: RefSeq, a predicted model, not a curated record
AUCAGGUGUUGCCAUUACACAAAAACAUGCGGUCAAGCCGAUGGUAUAUUCGAGUUCUCGUUAAAAAUGUUGUUAAAUACAAAUGUUUUUGUCAAUGUCAUCUGAUUCUGACAACUUGACGUCAUCAUUUUUUUUCCAUAUCAUAUUAUUUUCAUCAUUAUCUACGAGCUACGAGACCUGCAAUAGUACUGUUUGUUGAUUUAUUGAGUAGCAGACUGCGACAAAAUGUAUUUGAAGUUGUGCGUAUUAAUAUUUGCACUGCUGGCUGUCAGCAGCGUAGAAGCGUCAUCGGGCUACGACUUUGGAGACUUCUUUGCCACAGUUCUAGGUCUCGGAAUUGCGAUCAUUGGGAUCCUCGCGUGUUUAGGCAACUACGCGAGACAGAAAGCGAGAAACGAAUUCAUAUAACGCAAUCAUAUACACACGGCAAGUGGAAGCAAGCAAUGCGAAAAGACGAAAUAAAAUGUAUAUGGCCUGUAAAGUUUUUGUUAAUUAUAAGAACUUCCAUAUAUUAAGUAUAACAGAAAGAACGAAGACUGUACAUCAAGUAAAAUUAAUGAUAUUGAUAUGAAUUGAAUCCAUUAAUACAGGCUUGGUUUAGUAUAAGAACAGUCGCAUAGCCAAUUGCAUAGCACAUGUGUUAAUUAUGUUAAUAAAUUCACUGAUAAUGUA